AUGUCCGAUCCGGAGAAGGCUCCUCGUUCCCUCGUCUAUCCAUCAGAGUGGGAUGCCAUGACCGCAGAUGAGCAGAUGUUGUGGUUUCUCAAGCAUCUAUCGGCACAGAUGGAUCGUAUCAAGUCCGAGCUCGCGGCUGCACGCGUGGGCGCGGGCGAUCCGGUAGAGGCCACCUCGCGUGUCAAUCCGGUUGCCUCCCCUGCUACUGCUUCGGCUACCUCAACCUCUGCCCUGGUCGCGUCUCACACCGACCGCGCAACCACGGCUGCUCCACCCACCAUCGCCGAGGAGGUCCACUGCACCGCCACCGCAUUCGACCCCAAUCCCGCGAUCGGCACCAACAACGCCAUAGCCACCCUUCGAACGAAUGAAGUGGAAAUUCAGGAGGAGAACCAGGUUGUGGCAACAGCAAUUCAGGCUGUUAGCAUCAACAUCGGCGGCAAGUUCACUACUCCCGCACCUCCACCGGUGGCGUCCUCUCCAGAAGUCUCCACCGAGCCUGCUGUCCUUCCCGACGUUUCCUUGUCAACUGGACAGGCUGAGGAGAUCCUCCAUCAUGUGUCUUCUGAUUACAUCGCUACGACGCUCAUGACCUGUUCGACAGAAUGCUCGAAAAAAUUCAGUGCCAUGUCAUUCUUGUCUCCAGUCAUGACGACGUCGCUACCCCCAGCAGCCACACUUGUGCUCGUCGCCGACCUCAUUCACCCUGCUACCAACGAUGGUUCUAACCGGCGGGUGCCCCUGGACAUGGAAGACGAGCUCCUGACCAGUCUAUCUCCUCUGUCGUUCUCAAUUGUAGAUUCAACGCAGUCGUUUCUGAACCAGGACAGGGACGUCCCGUUUCCCACAAGGCACGAGGGGCUGCUGAUACGACCGACUCCGUGGCCAUCAUUUCAGAUGCAUUUUGCUGACGGCAAUGAUGUAAGGCCCGUGCCGUGGCCGUCGUUUGCUGGUUCUCUUGAAGGCACGACUCUGAAUUAUGAAGGGCUGUUGUUGCAAGUUACUUAUGUGGUGCAGCGUUUGCCGGUUGCUUUGAAUUUUUUGAGAGAAUACUGGAGGUAUCUACCAAGUGUGCGACUGAAAUCUUGUCCCUAUGAGAAGCUUGCUGGUUGGACCCCUAUGCUGCCAAAAGCAAUUCCCCUUCGGAAUCAGCAGAUAAUCCAAUCACUGGGUGAGGUGAAUUGGGGCGUUGUGGAGUGGUGGUCAGUGAUCUCUUUUGUACAGUCAUUUGCUCCUACUAUUCAUGUGUCCUGUAUAGUCUUCUCUAGCCAUGAGUUGAUGAGGAAGCCUAUGCUACCCUGGAGGCUUGUCGUUCAUAUUGUGGCCAUGGAGGACGAGCUCCUCACCACUCUAUCUCUGAUAUUCUCAGCUGUCGAUUCAAAGCAGCCAUUCCUGAGCCAUGAUUUGGACGUUUCGCCGCGUACAAGGCACCAGGGGCUGCUGCUACAGCCGAUGUCGUGGCCAUCAUAUUGGGCAGCUCUUAUUGUAGAGGGAAUGGAAACCCGACCCAUUCCAUGGCCGCCGUUUGCAAUCGGUUUGCCAUCAAAAGUCUGA
This 1554-nucleotide ribosomal RNA is filed under the name Triticum aestivum (bread wheat). RNAcentral's name for it is "partial small subunit ribosomal RNA". The record is from RNAcentral. Lineage: Eukaryota; Viridiplantae; Streptophyta; Magnoliopsida; Poales; Poaceae.